AUGGCAGCUACGCACCACGGCUACAACGUCCUCAAGAUGCCAGGAAGCGGCGGCGUCAUCACGGUCACAUGUCAAGAGAAGGACGCGGUGUGCUCCCUCGAGCGCGCCUUCCAGGCUGCAGCGGUCGAGAACCCUGAAGACGAGGGCGGCGCCCUCCCUCCUGAGGUCGGCCCCAAGACGAAGAAGCUGCAGCUGGGACAGGGGUCUCGUGAAGAAGCAUCACUCGAGGACGCCGCGCUGAAGACGAGGGCGGCGCCCUCCCUCCUGAGGUCGGCCCCAAGACGAAGAAGCUGCAGCUGGGACAGGGGUCUCGUGAAGAAGCAUCACUCGAGGACGCCGCGUUGA
RNAcentral lists this ribosomal RNA (345 nucleotides) under Triticum aestivum (bread wheat). RNAcentral describes it as "partial small subunit ribosomal RNA". The record is from RNAcentral. Lineage: Eukaryota; Viridiplantae; Streptophyta; Magnoliopsida; Poales; Poaceae.